This is a small nucleolar RNA of Phragmites australis (common reed), 121 nucleotides long. RefSeq annotates it as small nucleolar RNA snoR1. Lineage: Eukaryota; Viridiplantae; Streptophyta; Magnoliopsida; Poales; Poaceae. The transcript has a single exon. The record is from RefSeq and is a predicted model, not a curated record.
UGCGGUGAUGAUUGCUUUCUUACUUUCUGACACCUCUUGUACGAGAAGCGCCUCCUCAUUCUCAUCCUCGGGAUGAGAUGAGGAGCGCUUCGCUGAGCAGAUUGCAGCAACUUUCUGAGCU